CCUACGGGAGGCAGCAGUGGGGAAUUUUCCGCAAUGGGCGAAAGCCUGACGGAGCAAUACCGCGUGAGGGAGGAAGGCUCUUGGGUUGUAAACCUCUUUUCUCAGGGAAGAAUAAUGACGGUACCUGAGGAAUAAGCAUCGGCUAACUCUGUGCCAGCAGCCGCGGUAAUACAGAGGAUGCAAGCGUUAUCCGGAAUGAUUGGGCGUAAAGCGUCCGCAGGUGGUUUUAUAUGUCUGCUGUUAAAUGUUAGGCUUAACCUAAUAAAGGCGGUGGAAACUAUAAGACUAGAGUACGUUCGGGGUAGAGGGAAUUCCCAGUGUAGCGGUGAAAUGCGUAGAGAUUGGGAAGAACACCAGUGGCGAAGGCGCUCUGCUAGGACUGUACUGACACUGAGGGACGAAAGCUAGGGGAGCGAAUGGGAUUAGAUACCCCAGUAGUCCUAGCCGUAAACGAUGGAUACUAGGCGUUGUCUGUAUCGACCCGGACAGUGCCGUAGCUAACGCGUUAAGUAUCCCGCCUGGGGAGUACGCAGGCAACUGUGAAACUCAAAUGAAAUUGACGG
Molecule: ribosomal RNA, 563 nt
Filed under: uncultured bacterium
Lineage: Bacteria
Description: bacterial SSU rRNA
Rfam family: Bacterial small subunit ribosomal RNA
Source: RNAcentral